Molecule: long non-coding RNA, 531 nt
Filed under: Mytilus galloprovincialis (Mediterranean mussel)
Lineage: Eukaryota; Metazoa; Mollusca; Bivalvia; Mytilida; Mytilidae
Source: RNAcentral
CUUUGUCCAGAAUCAACUCAAAUCUUUGUUAUAUACAAUGUAUAUUCACUUUUUACUACCAACUGAUAAAUUAAAAUAAUCUUUACCAUUCAGUGAUAACAAGCAAUUUUUUACAUCUGAAUAUCUUAUGAUGUAUUUAAAUGAGUAGUUAUUGUUGCAAACUCCAUUAGAAAUUUAAUUGAGAUUAAUUUGGAAUAAGAGAAAGGGGGAUGUGAUUAAAAAAAAUGAUUUCAAUUUUCUCAUUUGAAAUGAAAUUUCAUAAAUAAAAUGAAAAUUUCUUCAAACAUUUUUUUGAGAGGAUUAAUAUUCAACAGCAUAGUGAAUUGCUCUAAGAGAAAACAAAAAUUUUAAGUUCAUUAGAACACAUUCAUUCUGUGUCAGAAACCUAUGCUGUGUCAACUAUUUAAUCACAAUCCAAAUUUAGAGCUGAAUCCAGCUUGAAUGUUGUGUCCAUACUUGCCCCAACGGUUCAGGGUUCAACCUCUGCGGUCGUAUAAAGCUACGCCCUGCGGAGCAUCUGGUUUUACUUAU